RNAcentral lists this non-coding RNA (130 nucleotides) under Streptomyces acidiscabies. RNAcentral describes it as "Streptomyces RNA 5676". It matches the Rfam family "Streptomyces RNA 5676". Rfam says of the family: Identified by deep sequencing of transcriptome at the end of exponential growth phase. Appears longer on northern blot than sequencing transcript. The record is from Rfam by way of RNAcentral. Lineage: Bacteria; Bacillati; Actinomycetota; Actinomycetes; Kitasatosporales; Streptomycetaceae.
UGAUGAGAGAUACACCCGCUCACGGGAGACCGUGGACGGUGCCGGGCCGGGGCCUCCCCAGCUUCGUCCUGGUCGUGCCUCGCGCACACAUCCGGAGCCAUUGGUUCCGGUGAUCUCCUCACCGAUCGGA